This 1552-nucleotide ribosomal RNA is filed under the name Vibrio parahaemolyticus. RNAcentral's name for it is "bacterial SSU rRNA". It matches the Rfam family "Bacterial small subunit ribosomal RNA". The record is from RNAcentral. Lineage: Bacteria; Pseudomonadati; Pseudomonadota; Gammaproteobacteria; Vibrionales; Vibrionaceae.
AAAUUGAAGAGUUUGAUCAUGGCUCAGAUUGAACGCUGGCGGCAGGCCUAACACAUGCAAGUCGAGCGGAAACGAGUUAUCUGAACCUUCGGGGAACGAUAACGGCGUCGAGCGGCGGACGGGUGAGUAAUGCCUAGGAAAUUGCCCUGAUGUGGGGGAUAACCAUUGGAAACGAUGGCUAAUACCGCAUGAUGCCUACGGGCCAAAGAGGGGGACCUUCGGGCCUCUCGCGUCAGGAUAUGCCUAGGUGGGAUUAGCUAGUUGGUGAGGUAAGGGCUCACCAAGGCGACGAUCCCUAGCUGGUCUGAGAGGAUGAUCAGCCACACUGGAACUGAGACACGGUCCAGACUCCUACGGGAGGCAGCAGUGGGGAAUAUUGCACAAUGGGCGCAAGCCUGAUGCAGCCAUGCCGCGUGUGUGAAGAAGGCCUUCGGGUUGUAAAGCACUUUCAGUCGUGAGGAAGGUAGUGUAGUUAAUAGCUGCAUUAUUUGACGUUAGCGACAGAAGAAGCACCGGCUAACUCCGUGCCAGCAGCCGCGGUAAUACGGAGGGUGCGAGCGUUAAUCGGAAUUACUGGGCGUAAAGCGCAUGCAGGUGGUUUGUUAAGUCAGAUGUGAAAGCCCGGGGCUCAACCUCGGAAUUGCAUUUGAAACUGGCAGACUAGAGUACUGUAGAGGGGGUAGAAUUUCAGGUGUAGCGGUGAAAUGCGUAGAGAUCUGAAGGAAUACCGGUGGCGAAGGCGGCCCCCUGGACAGAUACUGACACUCAGAUGCGAAAGCGUGGGGAGCAAACAGGAUUAGAUACCCUGGUAGUCCACGCCGUAAACGAUGUCUACUUGGAGGUUGUGGCCUUGAGCCGUGGCUUUCGGAGCUAACGCGUUAAGUAGACCGCCUGGGGAGUACGGUCGCAAGAUUAAAACUCAAAUGAAUUGACGGGGGCCCGCACAAGCGGUGGAGCAUGUGGUUUAAUUCGAUGCAACGCGAAGAACCUUACCUACUCUUGACAUCCAGAGAACUUUCCAGAGAUGGAUUGGUGCCUUCGGGAACUCUGAGACAGGUGCUGCAUGGCUGUCGUCAGCUCGUGUUGUGAAAUGUUGGGUUAAGUCCCGCAACGAGCGCAACCCUUAUCCUUGUUUGCCAGCGAGUAAUGUCGGGAACUCCAGGGAGACUGCCGGUGAUAAACCGGAGGAAGGUGGGGACGACGUCAAGUCAUCAUGGCCCUUACGAGUAGGGCUACACACGUGCUACAAUGGCGCAUACAGAGGGCGGCCAACUUGCGAAAGUGAGCGAAUCCCAAAAAGUGCGUCGUAGUCCGGAUUGGAGUCUGCAACUCGACUCCAUGAAGUCGGAAUCGCUAGUAAUCGUGGAUCAGAAUGCCACGGUGAAUACGUUCCCGGGCCUUGUACACACCGCCCGUCACACCAUGGGAGUGGGCUGCAAAAGAAGUAGGUAGUUUAACCUUCGGGGGGACGCUUACCACUUUGUGGUUCAUGACUGGGGUGAAGUCGUAACAAGGUAGCGCUAGGGGAACCUGGCGCUGGAUCACCUCCUUA